CCUUCACUUCACUCUACUGCAGGGUGGGAGAUGCAACAAUGGCCUUGAGAACAGCAGGAAGUGUGUUGGUGGUCUUUCUCUGGUCUGUAGCAGUGGUACUGGGA
Salvelinus namaycush (lake trout) is the source of this 104-nucleotide long non-coding RNA. RefSeq lists it as uncharacterized. The transcript has 3 exons. Lineage: Eukaryota; Metazoa; Chordata; Actinopteri; Salmoniformes; Salmonidae. The record is from RefSeq and is a predicted model, not a curated record.